UAAAUUUGUCUCUCUGAUGAAGGUGAUAUCGCAAUACCCAAAAAAGGAUAUCACAAUAUCACGGGCAGUGUUGAACUUGAGGGUCUUCCUUGAGAGGUGGAUAUCGUGAUACCCAAAAAAGAGGUAGCAAUACCAUUGAAUGGCCUCAUUAAUCUUCUAUAAUGCUGGAGGUAUCGCGAUUCACUACAGCAAAAUAGGUUUUUA
This 204-nucleotide long non-coding RNA is filed under the name Gossypium barbadense (sea-island cotton). Its description in RNAcentral is "long non-coding RNA (GBAR_LNC007443)". Lineage: Eukaryota; Viridiplantae; Streptophyta; Magnoliopsida; Malvales; Malvaceae. The record is from RNAcentral.